UUCCGUAGGUGAACCUGCGGAAGGAUCAUUAUUGAAUUAAUGUAGAGUUUGGUUGUAGCUGGCUCCUAAUUAAACUUGGGGGCAUGUGCACACCUUUCUCUUUCAUCCCAUACACACCUGUGCACCUGUGAGACAGAUGUUUUGUGGGGGGGAAGGAACUUUAUUGGACCUUCUACUCCCCCUUGACUUCUGUCUACUUAAUUCAUAUAAACUCAAUUUAUUUUAAAACGGAUGUAAUGGAUGUAACACAUCUAAUACUAAGUUUCAACAACGGAUCUCUUGGCUCUCGCAUCGAUGAAGAACGCAGCGAAAUGCGAUAAGUAAUGUGAAUUGCAGAAUUCAGUGAAUCAUCGAAUCUUUGAACGCACCUUGCGCUCCUUGGUAUUCCUUGGAGCAUGCCUGUUUGAGUAUCAUGAAAUCUUCAAAGUCAAACCUUUUGUUAAUUCAAUUGGUUCUGCUUUGGUAUUGGAGGAUUAUUGCAGCUUCACACCUGCUCCUCUUUGUGCAUUAGCUGGAUCUCAGUGUUAUGCUUGGUUCCACUCAGCGUGAUAAGUUAUCUAUCGCUGAGGACACCCUGUUAAAAAGGGGUGGCCAAGGUAAAUGCAGAUGAACCGCUUCUAAUAGUCCAUUGACUUGGACAAUAUCUAAUUUAUGAUCUGAUCUCAAAUC
This 669-nucleotide ribosomal RNA is filed under the name Rhizoctonia solani. RNAcentral's name for it is "eukaryotic LSU rRNA". The stretch from base 260 to 413 matches the Rfam family "5.8S ribosomal RNA". The record is from RNAcentral. Lineage: Eukaryota; Fungi; Basidiomycota; Agaricomycetes; Cantharellales; Ceratobasidiaceae.